This is a non-coding RNA of Ameiurus melas (black bullhead), 71 nucleotides long. The record is from the annotation of a GenBank genome assembly. Lineage: Eukaryota; Metazoa; Chordata; Actinopteri; Siluriformes; Ictaluridae.
GCUGUGCUGGCUUACUGGUUAAGGCUCUUGAUUACUGAUCAGAGAGUCAGGGUUCAAGCCCUAGCACUGCC